AUAUUUCAAAGUAAAUCAUACUUCCUUGAUAACUUCAAUAUCAUGCUCUAAUAAGCUAUUAAAAUA
RNAcentral lists this transfer RNA (66 nucleotides) under Lyponia delicatula. RNAcentral's name for it is "tRNA-Phe". The record is from RNAcentral. Lineage: Eukaryota; Metazoa; Arthropoda; Insecta; Coleoptera; Lycidae.